RNAcentral lists this ribosomal RNA (539 nucleotides) under uncultured bacterium. RNAcentral describes it as "bacterial SSU rRNA". It matches the Rfam family "Bacterial small subunit ribosomal RNA", at positions 969 to 1509 of the family's 1533-position model. The record is from RNAcentral.
CCUUACCUGGCCUUGACAUACUAAGAACUUUCAGAGAUGGAUUGGUGCCUUCGGGAACUUAGAUACAGGUGCUGCAUGGCUGUCGUCAGCUCGUGUCGUGAGAUGUUGGGUUAAGUCCCGCAACGAGCGCAACCCUUUUCCUUAUUUGCCAGCGGGUUAAGCCGGGAACUUUAAGGAUACUGCCAGUGACAAACUGGAGGAAGGCGGGACGACGUCAAGUCAUCAUGGCCCUUACGGCCAGGGCUACACACGUGCUACAAUGGUCGGUACAAAGGGUUGCUACCUCGCGAGAGGAUGCUAAUCUCAAAAAGCCGAUCGUAGUCCGGAUCGCAGUCUGCAACUCGACUGCGUGAAGUCGGAAUCGCUAGUAAUCGCGGAUCAGAAUGCCGCGGUGAAUACGUUCCCGGGCCUUGUACACACCGCCCGUCACACCAUGGGAGUUUGUUGCACCAGAAGUAGGUAGUCUAACCGCAAGGAGGACGCUUACCACGGUGUGGCCGAUGACUGGGGUGAAGUCGUAACAAGGUAAGCGUAGAUGA